UACGAAGGGGGCUAGCGUUGCUCGGAUUGACUGGGCGGAAAGGGCGCGUAGGCGGCUUGUACAGUCAGACGUGAAAUUCCUGGGCUCAACCUGGGGGCUGCGUUUGAUACGUAUGGGCUUGAGUUCGGAAGAGGGUCGUGGAAUUCCCAGUGUAGAGGUGAAAUUCGUAGAUAUUGGGAAGAACACCGGUGGCGAAGGCGGCGACCUGGUCCGAUACUGACGCUGAGGCGCGAAAGCGUGGGGAGCAAACAGG
This 253-nucleotide ribosomal RNA is filed under the name uncultured bacterium. RNAcentral describes it as "partial 16S ribosomal RNA". It matches the Rfam family "Bacterial small subunit ribosomal RNA", at positions 524 to 776 of the family's 1533-position model. The record is from RNAcentral.